RNAcentral lists this ribosomal RNA (498 nucleotides) under uncultured bacterium. Its description in RNAcentral is "partial 16S ribosomal RNA". It matches the Rfam family "Bacterial small subunit ribosomal RNA", at positions 28 to 507 of the family's 1533-position model. The record is from RNAcentral.
GACGAACGCUGGCGGCGUGCCUAAUACAUGCAAGUCGAACGAGAGCGACCGGUGCUUGCACUGGUCAAUCUAGUGGCGAACGGGUGAGUAACACGUGGGUAACCUGCCCAUCAGAGGGGGAUAACAUUCGGAAACGGAUGCUAAAACCGCAUAGGUCUUCGAACCGCAUGGUUUGAAGAGGAAAAGAGGCGCAAGCUUCUGCUGAUGGAUGGACCCGCGGUGCAUUAGCUAGUUGGUGAGGUAACGGCUCACCAGGGCCGUGAUGCAUAGCCGACCUGAGAGGGUGAUCGGCCACAUUGGGACUGAGACACGGCCCAAACUCCUACGGGAGGCAGCAGUAGGGAAUCUUCCGCAAUGGACGCAAGUCUGACGGAGCAACGCCGCGUGAGUGAAGAAGGUUUUCGGAUCGUAAAACUCUGUUGUUAGAGAAGAACAAGUGCUAGAGUAACUGUUAGCGCCUUGACGGUAGCUAACCAGAAAGCCACGGCUAACUACGUG